CAUCACUUCCACCCUUGCUGUAGAUUGUGUUGCGGCAUCUCAUCAACGAACAUGAAGCUGUUUCUCCUGAUGGUUCUUGCCACUCUGUUGACUGCAGAAUGUGUUGUUGCAGAACGACAACAAAUCAAGCUGGCCCCAACCAUGUAUGCGAGAGCACGGUUCACAAGAUCAAUAUCAGAAUAUCGUCUUCGGUCUGGUGCCUCAAAACGUCUGAGAAUGCGAAGUCUAUCAAGUUCUGGCACUGAAUGAUGAGGUGGAGAGGAUUCUAAUGUGCAUCAAAACAAAAUGAGCAAUAAAUCAGUUUUGUUCUGCAA
This is a long non-coding RNA of Haliotis rubra (blacklip abalone), 314 nucleotides long. RefSeq lists it as uncharacterized. The transcript is spliced from 3 exons. Lineage: Eukaryota; Metazoa; Mollusca; Gastropoda; Lepetellida; Haliotidae. The record is from RefSeq and is a predicted model, not a curated record.